RNAcentral lists this ribosomal RNA (305 nucleotides) under uncultured bacterium. RNAcentral's name for it is "partial 16S ribosomal RNA". It matches the Rfam family "Bacterial small subunit ribosomal RNA", at positions 508 to 807 of the family's 1533-position model. The record is from RNAcentral.
ACAGCAGUCUCCGCGGGAAUACGAAGGGUGCAAGCGUUAAUCGGAAUUACUGGGCGUAAAGCGUGCGUAGGCGGUGGUUUAAGUCCGUUGUGAAAGCCCUGGGCUCAACCUGGGAAUUGCAGUGGAUACUGGGUCACUAGAGUGUGGUAGAGGAUAGUGGAAUUUCCGGUGUAGCAGUGAAAUGCGUAGAGAUCGGAAGGAACAUCUGUGGCGAAGGCGACUAUCUGGGCCAACACUGACACUGAGGCACGAAAGCGUGGGGAGCAAACAGGAUUAGAUACCCCAGUAGUCCCUGUCUCUUAUAC